RNAcentral lists this long non-coding RNA (1742 nucleotides) under Homo sapiens (human). Its description in RNAcentral is "HSALNT0053556". Lineage: Eukaryota; Metazoa; Chordata; Mammalia; Primates; Hominidae. The record is from RNAcentral.
GCGCUGUCGCGACGGGCCGGCGUGAGGCACCGUGGCGCGGACUUCGUCUCAGCCCCGCCCUCGCCCCUGCCCUCGCCCCCGCCCUCGCCCCUGCCCUGACCGCUUUUCUCCCCCUCUCUCCCAGCUCUUGCCGCCACCUCGGUCGCGAUGGGGGCGCAGGACCGGCCGCAGUGCCACUUCGACAUCGAGAUCAACCGGGAGCCGGUUGGUCGCAUUAUGUUUCAGCUCUUCUCAGACAUAUGUCCAAAAACAUGCAAAAACUUCCUUUGCUUGUGCUCAGGUAAAAAGGCCUUGGGAAAACAACUGGGAAGAAGUUAUGUUAUAAAGGUUCUACGUUCCAUCGUGUGGUUAAAAACUUUAUGAUUCAGGGUGGGGACUUCAGUGAAGGUAAUGGAAAAGGUGGAGAAUCAAUUUAUGGUGGAUAUUUUAAAGGUAAGGCUUAAUAUUUUACGGUCUUUUGUUUCAGUUCUGAUAUUAAAGCAAGUUUGAUCAUAUACUUUUAAUGAGAAGAGGUUUACUUAUAGUUCACUUUUUGCAUGAAACUAAUGCUGCAUGAAAAUACUUUAUUUGCAUGAAUUUGGGGAUAAAUUAUAUUGUAAUAUAUAAUUUUUAAUUGACAAGAUUAAUUAAGGCUAACUUUAUGGUUAAACAUGACUUUCAGCAUGGAGGUUAGGCAACUAUAUACAUGAAAACUCCUAUCUUCCUGCCUAAAACUGUCAACAUAUUCUUUUGUUUAUAGAGAAUGUGGUCUUUUGCAAAAUGAAAAGGUAAGAGAACGAAGCUCAGUAACACAAACUCCAAUUCUGUUCCCUUGCACCCUUCCUAAUAAAUUUAUGGACAGUCUGGGUCAGGUUGUGGCUGGAUUUCUAUAUUGCUUGAAGACUUGGAAAAUUCUGUGUAUUAUUUCAUACAUGCUUCUGUAUCUUUUUUCAUUUCCCAAUGGGUUAUUAAUUUCACAUCAGAGAAAAGAGUCUAGUUGUGGGGUUUUUUUUCCCCUAAACCAAGCAAUUUCUUUGAAUAAAAGUUGAAAUUUCGUUUUUCAAAGGUUUGUAUGUUUUCUUUUGUAUAUUAGAACUAUGACUGUGUUUAUUCUCAUAAUAGUAGCAUCUGCAUAAAUCUAACUAUUGCACUUGCCCCAAAAAGCCUUAGAAAAGUCAGUUGCAGAGAUUUGUAAUGAAAUCUAAUAUUACUAGGUUUUAACGCUAUAAUAGCUUCAGUGUUAUAAUAGUCUUUUAUAUUUCCUUUGGGGGAAAAUGGAUUACUACUCUUUUUCAGAAGCCUGUUCCCAAGGUAAUCACUUUUUAAAGUUUUCUGUGUUUCUGUUUGUUCUGAAGAAGAUUUGUUUGUAUGAAUGUUAAAAGGACAUAUAAGUUAGUUUUCAAGGAUAUUCCUGCUGGAAUUAAAAUAACUCUAAGUGAUCUUUAUCACAGAUUUUUUUUUCCUUUGAACUAGUAGGAAACAGCUAUUUAGCUGGUUCUGUUAUGUAGCAAUUUAAAACUAAUGCUGUAGGCCACUUUGUGGUUGUUCCUUGUGGCAGAUACUUUUGUACCUUAAAAUUGUAUUUUGCUAUUUAAAUUUUUGUUUCACAGGGCUUUCUUCCUUAGAUAAUUUUGUGAUACAAUUGAGUAUACACAUACUUAAUUUAGAUAUGUUCCUGUAACUUAAUAUAACAUAAUUUUUUUGUCUUACAGUCUAGCUUCAAUUAAGUUGAAUAAUAAAUUUACCGUAUAAAAAUUAAACAC